RNAcentral lists this long non-coding RNA (1902 nucleotides) under Solanum tuberosum (potato). Lineage: Eukaryota; Viridiplantae; Streptophyta; Magnoliopsida; Solanales; Solanaceae. The record is from RNAcentral.
GAACGAUACAGAGAAGAUUAGCAUGGCCCCUGCGCAAGGAUGACACGCACAAAUCGAGAAAUGGUCCAAGUUUUUUUGCCGGCGGUCGGCUCUGAGCUCCGGUAGACAAAUCUGUAUUUGUUUUAUCAAUCGCCGGCGUUGAGGUUCGUAAGUUGCUCGGAAUUUCUUUCAUCUGUUUUAUUUCCUGUUUCCCCUAAUUUAGCUGACGGCGAUAGGCAUAUUAUUGUGCCCUAGUUUUUUUCUUCCUUUUAAGAAUCCUGAUAUUACUGUUGUUGUGAAAUUCACUCAUGUUACAUCUGAAACAUUUAUGACUAUGAACAAUUAAGUACUUUAUUCCACUCUCAUUUGGUUUUUGGUGGAUUAAGUGUGGGAUUGCCCAAUACUUGUGCUGGCAGGAGCUAGCAUACACUAAUAAAAUAGUCGAGCUGCGUGCAAGCUUGCUCAGACUGUCAGACACCAUUGUUAUUGAAUACAGUUGCGUGUUUGCUAUUCAGAAUCGACAAUUGUUUGUAGAUUCGUUCUACUAUCUUUAAGCUACUUACACAUUUUAGCUGCUUUUUGUGCAAUGUUUUUACUCCAUCCUUUUAUACUUUUUAAGUCGAGUAAGCUUGUUCAAAUUGUUGGUGAACUCUUUUAUGAUAUUUCUCUCCUAGUAAUGUGGCAGCGUAUAAAUAAUUAUGCAGUUCGUGGGAUCUAUCUCUGAUUCCCGGAAGAUGGUGGAAGUUGGUUCAACAGAUGGACUGCAAAAUGAGAAGACAAUUGUAGCUAAUGAAGUGUAUGAACUAUAAUAAAAUUGCUCGUCUCUUCGAUGCAGCCUGUUGUCUAAGCCACUAGUUUUGUAUUUCAAAAAUGGGUACCACUGCUACAGCCUACAUGACUAUUGUGUAUCCGAAUAGCAUAAUCAAACAAUCUGUUGUUUAUCAAGUUCUCCCAGAAAGCACUUGUAAUGCAGUAGAAUAUAAGCAUUAUUAUAUUCUUAUGUGUUAUGUUUGGGAUGUUUAAAUUGUGAAUAUCAUAUGGCAUAUGUUAUUUCAGGGUACCUUCGUGAUUUUACUGUGAUUCUCCUAAUUCUUUACCAAGUGAAGUGAAUUGGAGUAGUUACUUCUUUUAUUUCCAUCUCAUGUUUUGCUUAAUACCUAGUUGAAUUGUUUAAUGUGGAACGCGCAUUAUGUUUGCCUUCGUACUUAAUGAUACUGCUGUUUUUCUUGGCAGAUUCACAGUGGAUACCUCUGUAUCUAGAGGUUGUAGGCACCUCUGGAAAUGUGACUACUGAGGAUGUUGCUUUCAUGCUUAAUAUAGACUAGGAUUGAACACAAAUUUGGAUCUGAUAAAGCUUACAUUGGCUGGAGACUUUAUUUACGAUCAUUUUGGGUUGGCUUUCUUGUUAUGUGCCUUUGGCAUGUCACUCUGUGGCGGUAGUGACUCCGCUGUGGGAAAGAACUGCUUCCUUCUUGCUUGAUAGGGGGAGGGGAUGCUUCCGUUCAUCAGUGCAGACUAUAAGUGCUCUCCGAAUCGUGGUGGAUAGUUACUCAUCACACGGCUCAAGUUAGGGGUUGGAUGUAGAAUAAGAAUCUUAUGUUAAUGAAUGUUUUGUGGAAGAUAAGAGUUAUAGCAAGUGAUGUAUGUGUUGAUAAUUUGUAGGACAAUAGCAUAAUGGUAAUUUGUGCUUACACUCAUUCACAAUGGUUCAUCGUGCUAUUUUGGGCCUUUUUCUAUUCAGUUUAAGGUGGAAAUGUAUCAACCUUUUAUUUAUUAUCUUUAUAAUAUCUUAUUGGUUUUUUCUUCAUAUUUAUUUUGAUCCAUAUAUUAUAAAAAUUCAUAAAGAAAGACAAUGAUAAAUUCAAAUUAUCAGGCAUAUGUCUUUCUAAAUUCUAAUGAUAGAAGAUUAUUUUCGCCAAACUC